CCUUGUGGAGGACCGGACCCACCAGGGUUGACAACCUGGGGGAUGAACUGUGGGUAGGGGUGAAAGGCCAAUCAGACUCCGUGAUAGCUGGUUCUCCCCGAAAUGCAUUUGGGUGCAGCGUCGUGUGGUUCCUGGUGGGGGUAGAGCUACUGGAUGGCCGAUGGGCCCUGUGGGUUACUGACGUCAGCCAAACUCCGAAUGCCAUCAGGGUUGAGCGCGGCAGUGAGACCGCGGGGGAUAAGCUCCGUGGUCGAGAGGGAAACAGCCCGGACCGCCGGCUAAGGCCCCUAAGCGCGCGCUAAGUGGGAAAGGAUGUGGAGUCGCGGUGACAACCAGGAGGUUGGCUUAGAAGCAGCCAUCCUUGAAAGAGUGCGUAAUAGCUCACUGGUCGAGUGGUUCUGCGCCGACAAUGUAGCGGGGCUCAAGCGCGCCGCCGAAGCUGUGGCAGCAACGCGUUAUCGCCCGCCCCCCCUUGAUGGGGUGGUGGGCGCGUUGUUGGGUAGGGGAGCGUCCUGCGUGGGGUGAAGCCCGGGGGUGACCUCUGGUGGACCGCGUGGGAGUGAGAAUGCAGGCAUGAGUAACGAAUUCUGCGGUGGGAAUCCGCAGCGCCGAUUGACUAAGGGUUCCAGGGCCAGGUUUAUCCGCCCUGGGUUAGUCGGGUCCUAAGGCGAGGCCGACAGGCGUAGUCGAUGGUUGACCAGUUGAUAUUCUGGUACCGCGCGGUGACCGCCAGUGCUGAUACCGUUGUGCUAACCGCCCGCGCCGUCCUCCUCGUGCUUUCGGGCGCGGGGGCGGGGGGUGUCGCGGGGCCCCGGUGGUGGAGGCAAGCGUGUUAACAGGGGUGACGCAGGAAGGUAGCCGCAAUGCGCCGGUGGUUGUGCGUAUUCAAGGCUGUGGCCCGUCUCCUAGGUAAGUCCGGGGGGCUUUGUGGGUGAGGGCUGAGGAGGGACACACGCGUGUGUGGACUUGUGGUGAUCCUAUGCUGCCGAGAAAAACCCCGACGUGAGGGCGCCGCGCGCCCGUACCCUAAACCGACUCAGGUGGUCAGGUAGAGUAUACCGAGGCGUUCGAGUGAAUCGUGGUUAAGGAACUCGGCAAAAUUCCUCCGUAACUUCGGGAUAAGGAGGGCCCUUUGGGCUCGUCCCGCCGCGCGCGGGGUGGGGCCGGGGGGUCGCAGAGAAUAGGGAGAAGCGACUGUUUAUCAAAAACACAGGUGCGUGCGAAGCCGUAAGGCGAUGUAUACGCACUGACGCCUGCCCGGUGCUGGAAGGUUAAGAGGAACCGUUAACAUUCUUUAUGGGUGUGAAGCGGUGAAUUUAAGCCCCAGUAAACGGCGGUGGUAACUAUAACCAUCCUAAGGUAGCGAAAUUCCUUGUCGGGUAAGUUCCGACCUGCACGAAUGG
This 1403-nucleotide ribosomal RNA is filed under the name human gut metagenome. Its description in RNAcentral is "bacterial LSU rRNA". It matches the Rfam family "Bacterial large subunit ribosomal RNA", at positions 762 to 1999 of the family's 2925-position model. The record is from RNAcentral.